AGUGAACGCUGGCGGUAGGCCUAACACAUGCAAGUCGAACGGCAGCACAGAGGAGCUUGCUCCUUGGGUGGCGAGUGGCGGACGGGUGAGGAAUACAUCGGAAUCUACUCUGUCGUGGGGGAUAACGUAGGGAAACUUACGCUAAUACCGCAUACGACCUACGGGUGAAAGCAGGGGAUCUUCGGACCUUGCGCGAUUGAAUGAGCCGAUGUCGGAUUAGCUAGUUGGCGGGGUAAAGGCCCACCAAGGCGACGAUCCGUAGCUGGUCUGGGAGGAUAAUCAGCCACACUGGAACUGAGACACGGUCCAGACUCCUACGGGAGGCAGCAGUGGGGAAUAUUGGACAAUGGGCGCAAGCCUGAUCCAGCCAUACCGCGUGGGUGAAGAAGGCCUUCGGGUUGUAAAGCCCUUUUGUUGGGAAAGAAAUCCAUCUGGUUAAUACCCGGGUGGGAUGACGGUACCCAAAGAAUAAGCACCGGCUAACUUCGUGCCAGCCGCCGCAGUAA
Molecule: ribosomal RNA, 506 nt
Filed under: uncultured bacterium
Lineage: Bacteria
Description: partial 16S ribosomal RNA
Rfam family: Bacterial small subunit ribosomal RNA
Source: RNAcentral